GCGCCGCGUCAUUGCAGGCUCAAACAGACGCACGCACGCACACACACACACACACACACACACACAACAUGAACACACCUUAUCAUGCAAGCGUUGUCAUUUCACCCGUUGCGGCCGCCGCUUCUUCCUCGACGCUUCGCUGUGGUCGUCAAUCGGUGCUGUGUCGUAUUGUCGCAAGGACGGUGAGCUCGGAGGUGCACUUCUGCCGUGCUCUCGAGCCUCUUCGUCGCGGCUGCCGUAUCCCUGGUUUGGGGAGUCUGUUGUCUGCAGCGCGAGACUUUUCCUCCACCACGCCUUCCUACUUGCCUGCUUUCGACGUCUUUAACAAGCGGCAGACAUCGGACUCAGCAUCAUCAUCCGCAAUCGCCGGUGCUCCAUCACCAUCUCGGAGCAGCUGCGGCCGUGCUCACGCCGACCAUCAUCGUCACCAGCAUUCUCCACGUGCGCGCCGACGUUCUUGCACGCCGCAGGACACCGAUGCCUCCGCCUCGACGGAGCCGUACGCGUUUCCUGUGGGACGCGCUUUGCGCUACGUGCAGCUUGGCCGGCGCUAUCAUGGCCAGACCGAGGGGCAGUCGACUUUGUACGAGUGGCUGGCGGAGAUGCCAUUCCCACCUUCUGCGGAGGCAGCGGGGCCGCUCUGGGGGAACGGAGGCGCCGAUGUGGAGGGCUGCUCUACCUCGAAGACGGAUACGCACGGCCCGGAGCUCGUUGCGGAGGUGUCUAGCUUUGCGAAGUACCACGCUCAUCACGCCCUGAUCGAGUUCAAGGAGCUGCGCCGCCGGAUCGCAGAGGCGGAGUCGUGUGCGCAGGUAGCCCGAGUCGGCUCGCAGCGACCAGCAAACUCCUCACCGCCGAACCGCCACGAGCGCGCUGCAGACCGCAACGCUGAGGAGCCCUCGCCCUCGUCUUCUACGUCGCCGUCUCCCACGUCGUCCCUGUCUCCACAUCCGCUUCCGGCCCACCUCGCUGCGGCGCUGACGCAGUCGCUCUUCAGUGUCACGGUGCUGCUGCAUGUGAGCGGUCUUUUCGGCGUCGCAGACACGCACGUAGAGCGUCUGUUGGAUGUGUGCUUCUCCACCUCCAUUUUCCUUGCGCAGGAUUCCGCUGCAGCUGCGGCUUUGACGCGCCGGCAGCGAGGCAACCUCUCCGCGCCAUCUAGCGCCUCUGAGUUUCCUCGACGGCAUGGCGCCACUGCCGCCUUUGUGGAGGCACCGCCGAGGUCGCGGCAUCUGCACUCGCUUCACUGGGCGAUUGUGCACUUCGCGGCGGGGGUACAGCAUUGGGGGCUGCUGGAGCACACAAGUCCGCUGCAAGAUGUCGGCAGGACGCAGCGUCCAUACGAGCGCCUGCUGCAGGUACACGCUGCCCUGCUUUGCGAGCAGACACGCCGGUGCGUGGAUCAUGUGCUGUGGCAUGAGCUUGUUCUACUCAAGGCGGGCCGCCGCGCUGAGGCAGCGCGAGAUGCCUGGUUUAUGGGCCCCGACGCGGCGGCGUACUCCGUGCUGUUCGGCGCUCAGUCAAACUCAUCUUCCUCUUGCGGCAAUGCCGCGGAUGCAGGCUCACUGGCGCGUCGUGUGCCGCCUCGCUUGCAGCAGCGCCGCCUGCAGCUUCUACCACUGCUGUGGCUCUCACUUCUCUGUUCCCAGCUGCAGAAAAGACAGACGCCAACGGCGCAGACGCCGUCCACGUGCGCUGCACCACACAGCUCGCCCUCUCCGCCAGACGCCGAGGAGGUGACCUGGGCUUCAGCACGCCACGCCUUCGCCGCCCUCUUGCCGCUCUUCUCGAAGGAUGCGCGACUGGACGUGACGGCGUGGGCGGCGCUGCAUCUUCUCUUCCUUCCACACAGAAGGGCGCGCCUCUCAAAUGCGAAGGGUGCGGAGACGAAGAUGACACAUGCAUGCACCAUCUCUGCUCCAGCGGCGGCAGCGAAUGCGACUUUGCCGGAGCUGUGCGCACUCCUGGCGCGUGUCGAGCGUGAAGGCGCCUUGCUAGAGCUCGGCCCGGCUCUUCCGGGACCGGCUAGCGCGCACGCGGAGUCGUCCGCAUAUUUUCACCUCGCCUCGUUUCUGCGUUGUUGGCUGGAUGCGUCCACGGCACGAUCAUCUGUGCCCUCGUCUCCCGGCACAGCUCGCGCUGAACUUGCAGACAGCAGCGGGUGCAUCCACCGUGGCGAUAAUGCGUUGAACACAUUGCAAACGCCAAUGCACACAGCAGGCCAGCUUUAUCGUGCGCUGCUGAACAUUCCGCUCUCAGCCCUCUUCCUCCCCUCACCCAAGCCUUCUUCCGGUGAUGGCCUUUGCUCCGCGUCUGUACUCGCUGAGUAUGCCUCGACAGAGCCGUCGCUGAGGAAGCGGCUUUCUGUGACUGCAGAGGGAGCGCGUCUGCUUAAUCGAUUGCUGCUGCGUGUGCUGCUGCAGUGGCGCAGCGAUCGCCGUGUUCGGAGGGUACCGCAAAGAAGUGGCGGCGCGUCAGCACGGUCCACGUCGGAGAAGUUGCCCUCUGCAGGCGGCGUCGCAUCAAUCGCGCCCGAGUGUUCGUCGUCCGCGUGCACGCCAUGCACUGAAAGCGCUGGUUCAGGAGGACGCAGGGAAGCGAUCGAAGCUGCUCAGGGUGACCGUCCUCCCGGUGCGCUUCCAGCCUCCCAACCGGGCCUGCCGCAAGAGAUGACCGUGUCCGCUGCGGAGAGCAGGCGGCAGUGGGAGCGGGAGCUCGUUUGCGUCCUCAAAGCUACUCAUCACUUGGGCGCGCUGAUAACAGCAGGCGCGGCCGAUGGUGUCUCACGUGAUGGCAGCAGUGAUCGUGGCACGGGGCUCAUCCGCGCGUUCGUUGCGCCAACAGCCCAGGCAGUGGUCCGUGCUCUGGCGGAACAGCUUGGUAGAUCUCUUUUACCAUGGCGACUGCUUCUCCUCCACUGCGAACAUGUGCCGCUCACUGCGGCGGAGCUGCAGCUCCUUGGCAAGCUGGAUGCCACCCUGCGUCACGUACUGCUCCUGUACUCUCCUCAACGUGUUCGCGCGAGCGACGCAGCAGCUUCCACCACGCCUACGGACGUGGGAUCGCUGCCGAUGACCUAUCGAGUGUCGAUGAAUGCGCUGAUGCGCACAGCUGCCUGAGGGCAUGCUUACGUAUACGAUAUCGGCAUUUCAAUGCUUUCUUUUUCUACCGUUUUUCUCUCCUUCCCGAACGACGGAGGUGGAACGCCCCAG
RNAcentral lists this unclassified non-coding RNA (3212 nucleotides) under Leishmania donovani. Its description in RNAcentral is "gene:LdHU3.32.3200(CDS-product:hypothetical_prote in_conserved)". Lineage: Eukaryota; Euglenozoa; Kinetoplastea; Trypanosomatida; Trypanosomatidae. The record is from RNAcentral.